This 441-nucleotide ribosomal RNA is filed under the name uncultured bacterium. RNAcentral's name for it is "partial 16S ribosomal RNA". It matches the Rfam family "Bacterial small subunit ribosomal RNA", at positions 338 to 795 of the family's 1533-position model. The record is from RNAcentral.
CCUACGGGGGGCAGCAGUGGGGGAUAUUGCACAAUGGGGGGAACCCUGAUGCAGCGACGCCGCGUGGGUGAAGGAGCGUUUCGGCGCGUAAAGCCCUAUCGGCAGGGAAGAAGAAGGACGGUACCUGACUAAGAAGCCCCGGCUAACUACGUGCCAGCAGCCGCGGUAAUACGUAGGGGGCAAGCGUUAUCCGGAUUUACUGGGUGUAAAGGGCGUGUAGGCGGGAAAGCAAGUCAGAUGUGAAAACCAUGGGCUCAACCUGUGGCCUACAUUUGAAACUGUUUGUCUUGAGUACUGGAGAGGCAGACGGAAUUCCUAGUGUAGCGGUGAAAUGCGUAGAUAUUAGGAGGAACACCAGUGGCGAAGGCGGUCUGCUGGACAGCAACUGACGCUGAGGCGCGAAAGCGUGGGGAGCAAACAGGAUUAGAUACCCCGGUAGUC